AACGAACGCUGGCGGCGUGCCUAACACAUGCAAGUCGUGCGAGAAAGUUCCUUCGGGAGCGAGUAAAGCGGCGCACGGGUGAGUAACACGUAGGUAACCUGCCCCCCAGUCUGGAACAACUAGAGGAAACUCUAGCUAAUGCCGGAUGAGACCACGAUCCCUUCGGGGUUGCGGCCAAAGAUGGCCUCUACUUGUAAGCUAUCGCUGAGGGAUGGGCCUGCGGGCCAUUAGCUUGUUGGUGAGGUAACGGCUCACCAAGGCUGUGAUGGCUAGCUGGUCUGAGAGGAUGACCAGCCACACUGGGACUGAGACACGGCCCAGACUCCUACGGGAGGCAGCAGUGAGGAAUAUUGCGCAAUGGACGAAAGUCUGACGCAGCGACGCCGCGUGGGGGAUGAAGGUCUUCGGAUUGUAAACCCUUUCGGGAGGGAAGAUGGAGUGGGUAACCACUUGGACGGUACCUCCAGAAGCAGCCACGGCUAACUUCGUGCCAGC
Molecule: ribosomal RNA, 495 nt
Filed under: uncultured bacterium
Lineage: Bacteria
Description: bacterial SSU rRNA
Rfam family: Bacterial small subunit ribosomal RNA
Source: RNAcentral